RNAcentral lists this ribosomal RNA (436 nucleotides) under uncultured bacterium. RNAcentral describes it as "bacterial SSU rRNA". It matches the Rfam family "Bacterial small subunit ribosomal RNA", at positions 773 to 1207 of the family's 1533-position model. The record is from RNAcentral.
ACGUAAUAGAUACCCGGGUAGUCCACGCCCUAAACGAUGUCUACUAGUUGUUGGUGGAGUAAAAUCCAUGAGUAAACGCAGCUAAACGCGUGAAGUAGACCGCCUGGGGAGUACGGUCGCAAGAUUAAAACUCAAAGGAAUUGACGGGGGCCCGGCACAAGCGGUGGAUUAUGUGGAUUAAUUCGAUGCAACGCGAAAAACCUUAACCUGGCCUUGACAUGCCACUAACGAAGCAGAGAUGCAUUAGGUGUCCGUAAGGGAAAGUGGACACAGGUGCUGCAUGGCUGUCGUCAGCUCGUGUCGUGAGAUGUUGGGUUUAAAGUCCCGCAACGAGCGCAACCCUUGCCAUUAAUUGCCAUCAUUUAGUUGGGCACUUAAUGGACUGCCGUGACAACCGGAGAGGUGGGAUGACGUCAAGUCCUCAUGGCCCUUAUGG